GCGAGUGAAGCGGCAAAAGCUCAAUUUUGAAAUCCCCCCGGGGAGUUGUAAUUUGAAGACUAGGGGAUUUGGCCCAAACCUGCGCAAGUCCAUUGGAACAUGGCGCCCAAGAGGGUGAGAGCCCCGUCGCGCAGGCCGCAGCCUUGACAUCCCCCCGUCAAAGAGUCGAGUUGUUUGGGAAUGCAGCUCAAAGUGGGUGGUAAAUUCCAUCUAAAGCUAAAUAUUGGCGAGAGACCGAUAGCGAACAAGUACAGUGAUGGAAAGAUGAAAAGCACUUUGAAAAGAGAGUGAAACAGUACGUGAAAUUGUUGAAAGGGAAGGGCUUGCAAGCAGACACGAGUUCGCUCGGGCCAGCAUCAAUUUCGCGAGGUGGACAACACGCCAGGAAUGUGGCAGGCUCCGGCCUGUGUUAUAGCCUGCGCGCCAUACACCUCCGCGAGAUUGAGGCCUGCUCCAAAAGGAUGCUGGCGUAAUGGUUGCAAGUCGCCCGUCUUGAACACGGACCA
This 506-nucleotide ribosomal RNA is filed under the name Helenozyma melibiosica. RNAcentral describes it as "[Candida] melibiosica partial large subunit ribosomal RNA". It matches the Rfam family "Eukaryotic large subunit ribosomal RNA", at positions 89 to 668 of the family's 3401-position model. Lineage: Eukaryota; Fungi; Ascomycota; Pichiomycetes; Serinales; Metschnikowiaceae. The record is from RNAcentral.